GAGUUUGAUCAUGGCUCANAGNGAACGCUGGCGGCAGGCCUAACACAUGCAAGUCGAGCGGCAGCGCGGGGGCAACCCUGGCGGCGAGCGGCGGACGGGUGAGGAAUGCGUCGGAAUCUGCCCAGUCGUGGGGGAUAACGUAGGGAAACUUACGCUGAUACCGCAUGCGCCCUAAGGGGGAAAGCGGGGGACCGAAAGGCCUCGCGCGAUUGAAUGAGCCGACGCCGGAUUAGCUAGUUGGUAGGGUAAAGGCCUACCAAGGCGACGAUCCGUAGCUGGUCUGAGAGGAUGAUCAGCCACACUGGGACUGAGACACGGCCCAGNCUCCUACGGGAGGCAGCAGUGGGGAAUAUUGGACAAUGGGCGCAAGCCUGAUCCAGCCAUGCCGCGUGUGUGAAGAAGGCCUUCGGGUUGUAAAGCACUUUUGUCCGGGAAGAAAACCCUGGGGCUAAUACC
Molecule: ribosomal RNA, 456 nt
Filed under: uncultured bacterium
Lineage: Bacteria
Description: bacterial SSU rRNA
Rfam family: Bacterial small subunit ribosomal RNA
Source: RNAcentral